Molecule: unclassified non-coding RNA, 209 nt
Filed under: plant metagenome
Description: partial contains small subunit ribosomal RNA, internal transcribed spacer 1, and 5.8S ribosomal RNA
Source: RNAcentral
UCUCCGUUGGUGAACCAGCGGAGAGAUCAUUAAAGGAACUCGCAAGACUCCUAACCCACUGUGAACCUACCCGACGUUGCCUCGGCGGGCGCCCGGCCUCGUGCCGUGCACCAAGCCCGCCGGCGGCCCCCUACUCCGUCUCUGCAGCGUUGUGUCUCCGAGUAUACCAAAACAAGUCAAAACUUUCAACAACGGAUCUCUUGGCUCUA